Molecule: ribosomal RNA, 449 nt
Filed under: uncultured prokaryote
Description: bacterial SSU rRNA
Rfam family: Bacterial small subunit ribosomal RNA
Source: RNAcentral
UGGGGAAUAUUGCACAAUGGGCGCAAGCCUGAUGCAGCCAUGCCGCGUGUGUGAAGAAGGCUUUCGGGUUGUAAAGCACUUUCAGUGGGGAGGAAAGGGUGUUGGUUAAUACCUGACAUCUGUGACGUUACCCACAGAAGAAGCCCCGGCUAACUCCGUGCCAGCAGCCGCGGUAAUACGGAGGCGGCAAGCGUUGUUCGGAAUUACUGGGCGUAAAGGGCGCGUAGGCGGUCUGUUGCGUCAGGUGUGAAAGCCCCGGGCUCAACCUGGGAGGUGCACUUGAUACGGGCGGACUGGAAUCCGGGAGAGGAUGGUGGAAUUCCCAGUGUAGAGGUGAAAUUCGUAGAUAUUGGGAAGAACACCGAUGGCGAAGGCAGCCAUCUGGCCCGGUAUUGACGCUGAGGCGCGAAAGCGUGGGGAGCAAACAGGAUUAGAUACCCCCGUAGUCC